AUGCUUCUACUUUUUGUAUGGAGCUGGGAGCGUCUGCCUGUUGGACGCCCGAAGAGCGUCGGGUUUAAUCCUUGGUAUGAAGAUGAAGAUGACGAAUUACGGCGCCCCACUUGGGCUUACAAGUGGGAUGUGGUUUCCGAGAUGACGAACGAUGUCAAUCUCAUGUACCAGAAGUAUGUUGCCGAGUUGGACACGAUUACACCUGAGCAGGUAACGAGGUCAUUAGUUCAGUCAUUUCUCAUGUUUGCCUGA
This 252-nucleotide ribosomal RNA is filed under the name Triticum aestivum (bread wheat). Its description in RNAcentral is "partial small subunit ribosomal RNA". Lineage: Eukaryota; Viridiplantae; Streptophyta; Magnoliopsida; Poales; Poaceae. The record is from RNAcentral.